GUAGGUCUUAGUGAUCCGGUGGUUCUGUAUGGAAGGGCCAUCGCUCAACGGAUAAAAGGUACUCCGGGGAUAACAGGCUGAUACCGCCCAAGAGUUCAUAUCGACGGCGGUGUUUGGCACCUCGAUGUCGGCUCAUCACAUCCUGGGGCUGAAGCCGGUCCCAAGGGUAUGGCUGUUCGCCAUUUAAAGUGGUACGCGAGCUGGGUUUAGAACGUCGUGAGACAGUUCGGUCCCUAUCUGCCGUGGACGUUUGAGAUUUGAGAGGGGCUGCUCCUAGUACGAGAGGACCGGAGUGGACGAACCUCUGGUGUUCCGGUUGUCACGCCAGUGGCAUUGCCGGGUAGCUAUGUUCGGAAAAGAUAACCGCUGAAAGCAUCUAAGCGGGAAACUUGCCUCAAGAUGAGAUCUCACUGGGAACUUGAUUCCCCUGAAGGGCCGUCGAAGACUACGACGUUGAUAGGCUGGGUGUGUAAGCGUUGUGAGGCGUUGAGCUAACCAGUACUAAUUGCCCGUGAGGCUUGACCAU
RNAcentral lists this ribosomal RNA (526 nucleotides) under Pseudomonas aeruginosa. RNAcentral describes it as "partial 23S ribosomal RNA". It matches the Rfam family "Bacterial large subunit ribosomal RNA", at positions 2405 to 2925 of the family's 2925-position model. Lineage: Bacteria; Pseudomonadati; Pseudomonadota; Gammaproteobacteria; Pseudomonadales; Pseudomonadaceae. The record is from RNAcentral.